Molecule: long non-coding RNA, 329 nt
Filed under: Elaeis guineensis (African oil palm)
Lineage: Eukaryota; Viridiplantae; Streptophyta; Magnoliopsida; Arecales; Arecaceae
Description: long non-coding RNA (EGUI_LNC020230)
Source: RNAcentral
UCAGGCAGAGUGCUUCUAUCGUAAGAAGUAGGGUCAUUGGAAGAGGAACUAUUCUCAAUACGUAGCUUUUCUUGAUCUAAACAGACCAAAGAAAAAGAAGCAAUUAGUUGUUGGACAAGGUAAUUAUUGGGUACAAAAUACCCCAACAGCCGAAGUUCGCACCAGGAGUGACCCUCCGGGGAUUCCGCCAACUUCCGACCUUCGACGGCAUCUCUUCGAACCUCUCUGGCGGCCGAGCCUCCGCAACAUUCCCAAGUUUUACCAACGGAUCAACCCCCGCCAGCGUCAACCAGAUUCUUCACGGCAGACGGGCUCCUACGGGAGCCGGA